UACAUAGGGGGCAAGCGUUAUCCGGAAUUAUUGGGUGUAAAGGGUGCGUAGACGGGAAAUUAAGUUAGUUGUGAAAUCCCCAGGCUCAACUUGGGAAUUGCAACUAAAACUGGUUUUCUUGAGUACUGGAGAGGAAAGUGGAAUUCCUAGUGUAGCGGUGAAAUGCGUAGAUAUUAGGAGGAACACCAGUGGCGAAGGCGACUUUCUGGACAGAAACUGACGUUGAGGCACGAAAGUGUGGGGAGCAAACAGG
This 253-nucleotide ribosomal RNA is filed under the name uncultured bacterium. RNAcentral's name for it is "partial 16S ribosomal RNA". It matches the Rfam family "Bacterial small subunit ribosomal RNA", at positions 524 to 776 of the family's 1533-position model. The record is from RNAcentral.